This 579-nucleotide ribosomal RNA is filed under the name Triticum aestivum (bread wheat). RNAcentral describes it as "partial small subunit ribosomal RNA". Lineage: Eukaryota; Viridiplantae; Streptophyta; Magnoliopsida; Poales; Poaceae. The record is from RNAcentral.
AUGAUUGGAAAGGCUCUUUCCAAGCAUAAGGAACUGAAGAACCGGAACCUCCCCUCCUCCCUCCCGCGACGCUCCCGCAGGCGUCCGGGGGGCAACCCUAGCACCGCCGCCGGUCCCCCCUCCUCUCCCUACCCCCUCGCGGCCGCCCGGGGGCGCGAGCGGGCGAAGCCCGCUCGUCGCUGGCGGCGGCGGGGCCUUCUUGUCUCCGCGCGUGGGGGUUUCUGUGAGGGCCGGACGCCUCUGGCCGGAUGCGGCGCUUGGCGCUGGCCGUGGCAGCUCAGCAGCGCGCCGACGUGGGCUGUCGGCGGCGCAUGCCAGCGAUGGGAUGGGCAGUGCGGUGGUGGUGCAGGCUGGAGGCUGGUGGUGGCGGCGGCGCGCCCAGAUCCGCCUCUGGCGCCGCGAGUUGCGGGCGACCUGGAUCACGGUCGGCCUUCCCUACCAUGGCUCGUGGGGGGGCAGCGGGUGGAUGCGUGUGCCGUUGCCCGUCCGAGCCCUUGUGGCAGGUCGAUGUUGCACGGCGCUGGAGACUCCCCUGGUGGCCAUCCAUGGAUGCGGCGGCGGGCUCUGCUUCCUCAUUAG